CCACACUGGGACUGAGACACGGCCCAGACUCCUACGGGAGGCAGCAGUAGGGAAUCUUCCGCAAUGGACGAAAGUCUGACGGAGCAACGCCGCGUGAGUGAUGAAGGUUUUCGGAUCGUAAAGCUCUGUUGUUAGGGAAGAACAAGUGCGAGAGUAACUGCUCGCACCUUGACGGUACCUAACCAGAAAGCCACGGCUAACUACGUGCCAGCAGCCGCGGUAAUACAA
RNAcentral lists this ribosomal RNA (228 nucleotides) under Bacillus pumilus. RNAcentral describes it as "partial 16S ribosomal RNA". It matches the Rfam family "Bacterial small subunit ribosomal RNA", at positions 308 to 528 of the family's 1533-position model. The record is from RNAcentral. Lineage: Bacteria; Bacillati; Bacillota; Bacilli; Caryophanales; Bacillaceae.